UUGAUCGCCACUAGGAAACUUCUCCUCGCAGUUUUACCUGCAUCUGUUGUGCUCCCAGCCAGUAAUACGAUUCAAAUAUUUGCCUGCUGACUUGCUCCCUCUUUAACCUGGUGAACGAGUUGUUCAGCCCGAACACGCCGUCAAACAAAGUGAGGAGCAGAGUCAGAGACAUAAUGGACCUUGUCACCGCAAACUCUCUCUCUUAUGAGGAUUUUGUGGAAACCUUUGGGAACGUGGUGGAGAAAUGUCCCAUGGUAGCAGCAGCUGUCUGGUCUGACCGGCCGUUUGUGAGCGUCACUGAGCUGGACGAUGCCAUCGGUCGGUUCAUCGACGCCCUGCCAGAGUCAGGCAAAGAGGGCAUCCUCAGGUGUCACCCCGACUUAGCAGGCAGAGACCUCCAGGGCGGCAGGCUGACCAGAGAGUCUCAAGAGGAGCAGGCCGGUGCCGGCAUGGACCGCCUCGACGCCACAGAGGUGUCCCGCAUGUCUCAACUUAACCAAGAGUACAAGCGUCGCUUCGGCUUCCCCUUCGUCAUCUGUGCCAGGAUGAACGACAAGGCCACCAUCUUGCUGCGGCUGACCGAGCGCCUGAAGAACGAGCCGCACGAGGAGAGAGCUCUCGGCAUCCAGGAGGUGAAGAAGAUCUGCCGACUGCGCCUGCACAGCCUGCUGCCAGCGGACACUUUGAAUAAACUCUGAUCUCCCUGAUCACCAAAGAAUGCUGACAAAUAUAUUCCCUUUAUUACGCUAUAGCUAACACAUUCUCCGAAAAGACCAUGUCAGUAUUGUAAACAAGUUGAAAUGAAGGCACAUAUUUCAGCUAUAUCAUCAUAGAAAGGCACAAUAAAUAGAAGCAGGAGUAUUGCUUGAGAAGAGUGGGAUUUCACUGACACUUCUUUAAGGAGCGUUCAGUGUUUCAUUACAGUGAAGAGGAAGUGUCUCAGAUGUAAAACACUAUCUCAGAAGCCAGAUUCUGCCAGGAAGGACCAACUUCCCUCAAGUCCAAAUGGACUGGAGUAGCGGGUGACUCGACGCAAUGGACUAUCAGCCUGUCCAGGGUGUCCCCUGACCCUCACCCCACGUGUGUGCGUGGGACUUGGUGCUUUUCAUCCAGGGGAAGGGAAGGUGAUAUCUGCCGGCCUCCGCUCCGUCUCCAUAUCCCGCGCUCACCGGGAGCGUCUGCUGCUGAAGCCCCAGAGGAUGCUGGAGGUGCGGCACCCCCGGAUCCUCUCGCACCGGUAGACCGUAAGCGGGGGUCAUGUCAGGUAUAGCGGCCGGCUCCAGAACCGCCAUAGAUGGCGGAGAGUAGACGGAGUUUCGGCCCAUGUAGAGGCACGGAGGCGGGCUGUGGCUGUACUCCUCUCCCUGGGGUCUCUGGUACACGCACGACUCUUUAAAAACCUGAGUCGGGUAGUAGUGGUCUUCGCGAUUCAUGGCUGCGAGGAGCCGGCUGCGUCCCUUCACCUGCUCCGCUGAGACUGCGCGGCCCUGAGGCUCCGGCAGGUGAGUCACUGUGGGACCAUGUGACUCUGCAGAGCUGGAGCUAUUGGUCUGGUCGCACCUCCAGGUUCAGAGCAGUCUGCAGCCUGCGUGGAGUUUCACUUAGGCCCCGUCCACACGGAGACGAAAUCGGUCGUAUAGUUCAACCUCAAGCAGUAAAAUCUCUAGGUAAACAGUGAGCACAUGCUGAGCCCGCCCUCCCAUUAGACCAAGUAAGCAACGCCAGUGAAUGACCUUGGACCUUUACUAUCGAAAACACCUCUGCUACAUAAAAUGUCAGUACUUUAAUGUGUAAUAAUGGAACUAUAUCAUCAAUAGAUUAGGUAUAUAAAUCUCUCUAUAGCUGAAGACAUUUGAAACUUCAGUGAAGUCAAGCUCUGUGAGGUAAUGUCUCAUAAUGUAGCCGGCAUGCAAAACAAUAAUAAACCGCUCAGCGUGUCACAAUGUCAACACGAACAAAAAAAGAAACAUUUGGGACGUCUUAAGCUUAGAGUUCUGUUUUUUGAUCAUUUGUGGGAUGUUUUGUAAACCAAAAGUAAUUGUCAUAAAUAUAUGUCAUAUUUUCAAGCACACCUGAAUAACAAAAGUAUUGUAAUUCAUAAACAACAAAACACUGCGUCUGUGUGCCGCACUGAACAAGGCUCUAAGAUGGAAAUGAGGUGGCUGGAGAAGACCUUCCAGUUUUGUAAACAGGAAUGCAGCACCUUUGUAGCGACAGUUUCCAUGUUUUUUUGUUUAGAUAUGUGUUGUAGGUAUUUAUUUGAAAAUACUUGUGUACAGACUUAUUUCACUUUCCUAAGGAUCUCAAGUCAUUUGUGGAGCGCCUCACUCGCUGCAGUGGCAGACUGCUCCCCACAUGUCAACAGCAGCAGUGGCUCUGGUGGGAGAGAACGGGGCGGUCAGUAAAGUGUGGAUUGAAAGUUUGAAUCUGCUCCGCGAAGCCGACAUCUGAACACCCUUGGAUAGUUCCAAUGAAUGGUGGAUGGAGGGCACACCGCAACGGAGAUAUGGCAGAGUCUGCCCCAGUGCAGUUACAUGCUCCAAAAUCAGGUUUAUGUGUGAUUUAUUAAACAGAUUCCAAGUUUGUUCCAUUCCAGAUGGCAGUCAGACCUGACAUCAUGUGUACAUCAUCAUCGUAUGUGUGGGUGUCUGGGGGUUGAGUGGACCAAACACGACCAUGUUUUGAGCUUUGAGAGUGUGUGACUGGAUGCUGACAGACUGACUGACUAAUAUUUGCCCGGAUAAAUAGUCAUUUGGAAUGUGUAAAUGAAAAGUCAU
This is an RNA transcript of Synchiropus splendidus (mandarinfish), 2777 nucleotides long. It is a transcript of the gene named ureidoimidazoline (2-oxo-4-hydroxy-4-carboxy-5-) decarboxylase, with no coding region annotated. NCBI's taxonomy places the organism in Eukaryota, Metazoa, Chordata, Actinopteri, Syngnathiformes, Callionymidae. The record is from RefSeq and is a predicted model, not a curated record. The transcript has 3 exons.